Molecule: ribosomal RNA, 253 nt
Filed under: uncultured bacterium
Lineage: Bacteria
Description: partial 16S ribosomal RNA
Rfam family: Archaeal small subunit ribosomal RNA
Source: RNAcentral
UACCAGCACCCCGAGUGGUCGGGACGAUUAUUGGGCCUAAAGCAUCCGUAGCCGGUCAUGCAAGUCUUCCGUUAAAUCCAGCCGCUCAACGGUUGGGCUGCGGAGGAUACUACGUGGCUAGGAGGCGGGAGAGGCAAGCGGUACUCAGUGGGUAGGGGUAAAAUCCUUUGAUCAAUUGAAGACCACCAGUGGCGAAGGCGGCUUGCCAGAACGCGCUCGACGGCGAGGGAUGAAAGCUGGGGGAGCAAACCGG